This is a ribosomal RNA of Danio rerio (zebrafish), 117 nucleotides long. The record is from Ensembl. Lineage: Eukaryota; Metazoa; Chordata; Actinopteri; Cypriniformes; Danionidae.
AGCCACAGCCAAAUCCCCCUGCAGCCCAAGGCCGGUUACACACUUAAGCUAAGCAGGGCUGAGCCAGGUCAGUACCUGGAUGGCACACCACAUGGGAAUAUUAGGUUGCUGUUGGAA